GUUAAUGUAACUUAUUAA
Molecule: transfer RNA, 18 nt
Filed under: Microtus subterraneus (Common pine vole)
Lineage: Eukaryota; Metazoa; Chordata; Mammalia; Rodentia; Cricetidae
Description: Terricola subterraneus (Common pine vole) partial tRNA-Phe
Source: RNAcentral